Myotis brandtii (Brandt's bat) is the source of this 75-nucleotide non-coding RNA. The record is from Rfam. NCBI's taxonomy places the organism in Eukaryota, Metazoa, Chordata, Mammalia, Chiroptera, Vespertilionidae.
GGUGGUUCUCAGGUGACACACCCCAGAAUCGGGCUCCCUACUCUCUGGUUCCGGGUGUGUCACCCAAGAACUGCA